RNAcentral lists this ribosomal RNA (935 nucleotides) under Cortinarius aurantioferreus. RNAcentral describes it as "LSU rRNA". It matches the Rfam family "Eukaryotic large subunit ribosomal RNA", at positions 40 to 961 of the family's 3401-position model. The record is from RNAcentral. Lineage: Eukaryota; Fungi; Basidiomycota; Agaricomycetes; Agaricales; Cortinariaceae.
AUAUCAAUAAGCGGAGGAAAAGAAACUAACAAGGAUUCCCCUAGUAACUGCGAGUGAAGCGGGAAAAGCUCAAAUUUAAAAUCUGGCAGUCUUUGRCUGUCCGAGUUGUAAUCUAGAGAAGUGUUAUCCGCGCUGGACCGUGUACAAGUCUCCUGGAAUGGAGCGUCAUAGAGGGUGAGAAUCCCGUCUUUGACACGGACUGCCAGGGCUUUGUGAUGCGCUCUCAAAGAGUCGAGUUGUUUGGGAAUGCAGCUCAAAAUGGGUGGUAAAUUCCAUCUAAAGCUAAAUAUUGGCGAGAGACCGAUAGCGAACAAGUACCGUGAGGGAAAGAUGAAAAGAACUUUGGAAAGAGAGUUAAACAGUACGUGAAAUUGCUGAAAGGGAAACGCUUGAAGUCAGUCGCGUUGUCCAGGGAUCAACCUUGCUUUUGCUUGGUGCACUUUCUGGUUGACGGGUCAGCAUCAAUUUUGACUAUUGGAAAAAGAUUAGGGGAAUGUGACAUCCUUGGAUGUGUUAUAGCCCUUGGUUGUAUACAAUGGUUGGGAUUGAGGAACUCAGCACGCCGCAAGGCCGGGUUUUUAACCACGUACGUGCUUAGGAUGCUGGCAUAAUGGCUUUAAUCGACCCGUCUUGAAACACGGACCAAGGAGUCUAACAUGCCUGCGAGUGUUUGGGUGGAAAACUCGAGCGCGUAAUGAAAGUGAAAGUUGAGAUCCCUGUCGUGGGGAGCAUCGACGCCCGGACCAGACCUUUUGUGACGGUUCCGCGGUAGAGCAUGUAUGUUGGGACCCGAAAGAUGGUGAACUAUGCCUGAAUAGGGUGAAGCCAGAGGAAACUCUGGUGGAGGCUCGUAGCGAUUCUGACGUGCAAAUCGAUCGUCAAAUUUGGGUAUAGGGGCGAAAGACUAAUCGAACCAUCUAGUAGCUGGUUCCUGC